AUGUGGCACUUUUCGAAUUCCGAGGUUCAAACAAAUCUAUUUUUGACCGUAAUUUUUUCAUAGAUAUUUUAAACAUUUUGAAUUAUAAAUUAUUGUGAAUUAUAGUACUUUUUACGUAGUUUACAAAUAUAUAAAUUUCAUUUCAAAAAAAUUGAAGAUUCCAUGAGCAAAUUCCCGAUCAAACUUAAACUGUUUGACUCUCGAAAAACGAAAAGUGCCACAUAA
This 225-nucleotide microRNA precursor is filed under the name Solanum tuberosum (potato). Its description in RNAcentral is "MIR8007 microRNA precursor family". It matches the Rfam family "MIR8007 microRNA precursor family". Lineage: Eukaryota; Viridiplantae; Streptophyta; Magnoliopsida; Solanales; Solanaceae. The record is from Rfam by way of RNAcentral.